Molecule: RNase MRP RNA, 237 nt
Filed under: Puccinia triticina 1-1 BBBD Race 1
Lineage: Eukaryota; Fungi; Basidiomycota; Pucciniomycetes; Pucciniales; Pucciniaceae
Description: RNase MRP
Rfam family: RNase MRP
About the family: RNase MRP is an enzymatically active ribonucleoprotein with two distinct roles in eukaryotes. In mitochondria it plays a direct role in the initiation of mitochondrial DNA replication. In the nucleus it is involved in precursor rRNA processing, where it cleaves the internal transcribed spacer 1 between 18S and 5.8S rRNAs.
Source: Rfam by way of RNAcentral
CAAGCAAGCCAAGGACCAUAUGUUUUUUUGUGUUACACUUUCAGCAUCUAAGCUUAUUAUAUUCAACACAAGGAGAAAGUCCCCGGAAAACAAAAUAUCUUCUGUCCAAUGAUUAAAGAUUAGGGCAGUGGGGUAUUUAGUAAAGCAACUUUGUUUGUUUGUUUUUUUCAUAAUAAAAAGUAAUAUGGUCACCCUAUAAUAAUGGGGCAACUUAAUGGGGCUUACUCUGGCUUGUUU